GCCACAUGAUGACGCGUAUAGAUUCAGGAGCCUUCGGGCCGUGGUGACCUGCUAUCUAUCACCCUUGUCUGAUGGCU
Molecule: small nucleolar RNA, 77 nt
Organism: Phyllopteryx taeniolatus (common seadragon)
Lineage: Eukaryota; Metazoa; Chordata; Actinopteri; Syngnathiformes; Syngnathidae
Product: small nucleolar RNA SNORD83
Exons: 1
Source: RefSeq, a predicted model, not a curated record